AAAAAAAAAAAGAAUACAAAUUGUCGUCCUCGUCUUCUUCCUUUCAACAAUCUGAAGAAAAUCUGAUUAUCCAGCAAAAAGGAAGCAAUUGAAGGUAACUAAUUUACGAAACUGAAGUUUAACAUUUGGGUUUGUUCGAUUUUUGCCGAAUCUCUUUUUUGUUCUAGCAUUUCUAGGUUUUUCGGUUGAAAACGAAACAAGUAAAAUAGAUUGAUAUUUGGGAAUUUUGAAGGAGUGUUGGAAAUUGUUAUAUAAUUUU
This 259-nucleotide small RNA is filed under the name Arabidopsis thaliana (thale cress). RNAcentral's name for it is "ATSL085650". Lineage: Eukaryota; Viridiplantae; Streptophyta; Magnoliopsida; Brassicales; Brassicaceae. The record is from RNAcentral.